This 433-nucleotide ribosomal RNA is filed under the name uncultured bacterium. RNAcentral describes it as "partial 16S ribosomal RNA". It matches the Rfam family "Bacterial small subunit ribosomal RNA", at positions 29 to 507 of the family's 1533-position model. The record is from RNAcentral.
AACGAACGCUGGCGGCAUGCCUAACACAUGCAAGUCGAACGAGACCUUCGGGUCUAGUGGCGCACGGGUGCGUAACGCGUGGGAACCUGCCCUUAGGUUCGGAAUAACUCCCCGAAAGGGGUGCUAAUACCGGAUAAUUUCUUCGGACCAAAGAUUUAUCGCCUUUGGAUGGGCCCGCGUUGGAUUAGCUAGUUGGUAGGGUAAAAGCCUACCAAGGCGACGAUCCAUAGCUGGUCUGAGAGGAUGAUCAGCCACACUGGGACUGAGACACGGCCCAGACUCCUACGGGAGGCAGCAGUGGGGAAUAUUGGACAAUGGGCGAAAGCCUGAUCCAGCAAUGCCGCGUGAGUGAUGAAGGCCUUAGGGUUGUAAAGCUCUUUUAACCGGGAUGAUAAUGACAGUACCGGGAGAAUAAGCUCCGGCUAACUCCGUG